RNAcentral lists this ribosomal RNA (460 nucleotides) under uncultured bacterium. Its description in RNAcentral is "partial 16S ribosomal RNA". It matches the Rfam family "Bacterial small subunit ribosomal RNA", at positions 338 to 795 of the family's 1533-position model. The record is from RNAcentral.
CCUACGGGGGGCAGCAGUGAGGAAUAUUGGUCAAUGGACGAGAGUCUGAACCAGCCAAGUAGCGUGAAGGCUGACUGCCCUAUGGGUUGUAAACUUCUUUUAUAUGGGAAUAAAAUGUUCCACGUGUGGGAUUUUGUAUGUACCAUAUGAAUAAGGAUCGGCUAACUCCGUGCCAGCAGCCGCGGUAAUACGGAGGAUCCGAGCGUUAUCCGGAUUUAUUGGGUUUAAAGGGAGCGUAGGUGGAUUGUUAAGUCAGUUGUGAAAGUUUGCGGCUCAACCGUAAAAUUGCAGUUGAAACUGGCAGUCUUGAGUACAGUAGAGGUGGGCGGAAUGCGUGGUGUAGCGGUGAAAUGCUUAGAUAUCACGAAGAACUCCGAUUGCGAAGGCAGUUCACUGGACUGCAACUGACACUGAGGCUCGAAAGUGUGGGUAUCAAACAGGAUUAGAUACCCCUGUAGUC